GUCUGUGGCCUUACCACCCUGAACACGCUGAAUCUCGUUGAUCCUGGAAGCUAAGCAGGGUCAGGCCUGCAUGGGAGAUUAUGUGGUCCCUUGCCAGCUCCCAGAGUCUGAGGCU
Cercocebus atys (sooty mangabey) is the source of this 115-nucleotide ribosomal RNA. The record is from Ensembl. Lineage: Eukaryota; Metazoa; Chordata; Mammalia; Primates; Cercopithecidae.